This 22-nucleotide microRNA is filed under the name Dinoponera quadriceps. Its description in RNAcentral is "dqu-miR-11657-3p". Lineage: Eukaryota; Metazoa; Arthropoda; Insecta; Hymenoptera; Formicidae. The record is from miRBase by way of RNAcentral.
AAUAAUCGGCUGUGUUUGGUCA